RNAcentral lists this ribosomal RNA (432 nucleotides) under uncultured bacterium. Its description in RNAcentral is "bacterial SSU rRNA". It matches the Rfam family "Bacterial small subunit ribosomal RNA", at positions 29 to 507 of the family's 1533-position model. The record is from RNAcentral.
AACGAACGCUGGCGGCGCGCUUAACACAUGCAAGUCGAACGCACACUUUCGGGUGUGAGUGGCGGACGGGUGAGUAACGCGUGGGAACCUGCCCUGAGGUUCGGGACAACCGUGGGAAACCGCGGCUAAUACCGGAUAUCUCCUACGGGAGAAAGACUUGUCGCCUUGGGAGGGGCCCGCGUCGGAUUAGCUUGUUGGUGGGGUAAUGGCCUACCAAGGCAUCGAUCCGUAGCUGGUCUGAGAGGAUGAUCAGCCACACUGGGACUGAGACACGGCCCAGACUCCUACGGGAGGCAGCAGUGGGGAAUCUUGGACAAUGGGCGAAAGCUUGAUCCAGUGAUAUCAAAGGAGUGAAGAAGGUGAAAACUGUAAAGCUUGAUUACUAAGGAAGAUAAUGACGUUACUUAGUAGGGAAGCCCGGCUAAUCCUGUG